UACUGGAGCCUCAUGACGAAACACUGC
RNAcentral lists this non-coding RNA (27 nucleotides) under Mus musculus (house mouse). The record is from RNAcentral. Lineage: Eukaryota; Metazoa; Chordata; Mammalia; Rodentia; Muridae.